Molecule: small RNA, 20 nt
Filed under: Arabidopsis thaliana (thale cress)
Lineage: Eukaryota; Viridiplantae; Streptophyta; Magnoliopsida; Brassicales; Brassicaceae
Description: ATSL007790
Source: RNAcentral
UAAUAUCUUCUUCUUUUUUU